This 279-nucleotide ribosomal RNA is filed under the name uncultured bacterium. RNAcentral describes it as "partial 16S ribosomal RNA". It matches the Rfam family "Bacterial small subunit ribosomal RNA", at positions 506 to 784 of the family's 1533-position model. The record is from RNAcentral.
UGCCAGCAGCCGCGGUAAUACGGAGGGUGCAAGCGUUGUUCGGAAUUACUGGGCGUAAAGCGCGCGUAGGCGGACUAUUAAGUCAGGGGUGAAAUCCCGGGGCUCAACCCCGGAACUGCCCUCAAAACUGUCGAUCUAGAGACCGGGAGAGGUAAGCGGAAUUCCUAGUGUAGAGGUGAAAUUCGUAGAUAUUAGGAAGAACACCAGUGGCGAAAGCGACUUUCUGGCCCGUUCCUGACACUAAGACGCGAAAGCUAGGGUAGCAAACGGGAUUAGAUA